RNAcentral lists this long non-coding RNA (1146 nucleotides) under Ananas comosus (pineapple). RNAcentral describes it as "long non-coding RNA (ACOM_LNC012257)". The record is from RNAcentral. Lineage: Eukaryota; Viridiplantae; Streptophyta; Magnoliopsida; Poales; Bromeliaceae.
CAUAAUUUUCUAAGAAUUUUGAGUAUGAGAAGGUUAUGUGGAACCUAAACAUGAAAAUGGGAUUUUGUAGGAAUGGAGAUCUAGCUUGGAAUUGAUCUCAUGUAAUCCUAAUUGAAGGUAAAACCACUGCGUUGGAAGGCUCAGAUCGAAGUUCCGACGAAUCUACAUCAAGUUAUUGAGGAAAAACCACAUUUAGGCUUCGUUUGUCGUGGAUUGAGAGAGAUAAGCUUCCAAAAAUCACGAGACUUGGGUUCUCGCAUCUCGACAUCCCUACGAGGUGGGUGGUGCUAUCUGAAGUCUUCGAAUGAAUCGUUAUGUCUAGUGACUUCUUGAGCAUGUUGUAUGUGUAUAGUGUAUUUAUGCAUUAUAGGAUAAAUAUGGCAUAUGGGGUGCGUUUGGCUCAUAUUAUGAAAUAUUACUAGGAAUAAAAGAUAUCCGAGAAUCUUAUUCCUAUUCAUCCUAUUACUAAGAAUGUGGAAUUCCUGUGUUUGGUUCGUACGGUAAUAUUAAUUAGCCAUGUUAUUUAAUAUUACAAAAAAUAUACAAUUUAUUUAUUUAAUUUUAUAUAAUAUUACCAAAAGUUUCAACAUUUUUUUAGAAAAAAGAAAGAGAGAGUAUAAGUUAGAGAGAGAGAGCAUAAUUAAAAAAAAAGAAAGAAAAAUAUAGUUGAAAUUAGAGGGAGUGAGAGAGUUGAAAUUUUAGAAAGAGAGAGAGAGAGAGAAAGCUUAGUUUAGAGAGAGAAAAAAAAGUUGAAUUUUAGAGAGAAAAAUAAGUUUAGAGAGAGAUAUAAGGUUAGAGUGUAAAGAAAAAUAAUAUCAAUUAGCCGGCGGGUAAGAAGAAAGAAAGAGAUUAGACAUAUUAUGAUUACCCCAAUCCAUUAAUAUGAGGAUACCCACCCUCCCUCAAGGGAAUGAGAUUAGUACUUUGGGGUGAAUCUUAUUCCCAAGUGAAUCCAAUAUUACCAACUAGAUUACUUAGUGUGUUUAGCCAAACACCGUCAUAUUUUUUUAUUCCCAUUAGAUUACUAGGAAUCUUUAAAAGAUAGCGCGAACCAAACGCACCCAUGUGGUAAUUAUGCAUUCUUGUAUGCUUUGGAAGCAAAGAAUAUGCGAACUAUAGAUGUUGAACAUAGAAACCUUAUAUAUG